UCUCGGCCCCUCCUCCGCAGCGCGCACCUGUCCCGCAGAAAAUAACCACCUAAGACCACAUCUUCAGCAUGUUCUGGACAGAUGUAAACACACUGGGCAUGUAAGUAAUGGAAUAAAUGAUGAGAAAGAAGCUUAGAUGAAGAGAACAAACUUAGACAGUC
RNAcentral lists this long non-coding RNA (161 nucleotides) under Fukomys damarensis (Damara mole-rat). RNAcentral describes it as "lncRNA (ENSFDAG00000024932.1)". Lineage: Eukaryota; Metazoa; Chordata; Mammalia; Rodentia; Bathyergidae. The record is from RNAcentral.